Molecule: non-coding RNA, 27 nt
Filed under: Mus musculus (house mouse)
Lineage: Eukaryota; Metazoa; Chordata; Mammalia; Rodentia; Muridae
Source: RNAcentral
UAGCUGGUACCCUAGGCCUAGUCCCCA